GACGAACGCUGGCGGCGUGCUUAACACAUGCAAGUCGAGCGGUAAGGCCCCUUCGGGGGUACACGAGCGGCGAACGGGUGAGUAACACGUGGGUGACCUGCCCUCAGCUCUGGGAUAAGCCUGGGAAACUGGGUCUAAUACCGGAUAUGACUCCAUGACGCAUGUCGUGGGGUGGAAAGCCUUGUGCGGCUGGGGAUGGGCCCGCGGCCUAUCAGCUUGUUGGUGGGGUGANGGCCUACCAAGGCGACGACGGGUAGCCGGCCUGAGAGGGCGACCGGCCACACUGGGACUGAGACACGGCCCAGACUCCUACGGGAGGCAGCAGUGGGGAAUCUUGCGCAAUGGGCGAAAGCCUGACGCAGCGACGCCGCGUGAGGGAUGACGGCCUCGG
RNAcentral lists this ribosomal RNA (391 nucleotides) under uncultured bacterium. Its description in RNAcentral is "bacterial SSU rRNA". It matches the Rfam family "Bacterial small subunit ribosomal RNA", at positions 28 to 420 of the family's 1533-position model. The record is from RNAcentral.